RNAcentral lists this long non-coding RNA (450 nucleotides) under Phoenix dactylifera (date palm). Its description in RNAcentral is "long non-coding RNA (PDAC_LNC002530)". The record is from RNAcentral. Lineage: Eukaryota; Viridiplantae; Streptophyta; Magnoliopsida; Arecales; Arecaceae.
AAAGGUUGGGAUGUUAGUCUUCUUUUGAAGGAAUCAAAAGAACAUGCUACGUAUUGUAGAUGGAAAAGAUCAAGUUUUAAGAUGCCAUAAGUUUGUACGUCAUGAUUCUUUAUGUCAAAAUCUUGUGAGCAUGCACUCUGAGAAAGAGACUACUUGAGAGCUCAAGGAUGACAUGACAGUUGAGUACUUUCAAAGUUGAGUUUUAAUAAAUUAAUUUCGAGGACAAAAUUAUUUUAAGAGGAAAAAAUACAGCAACUCAACCUUUGGCCUUGUGGGCAGGCCGAAUAGGCUAGGCCCAAGGCAAAUCAUGCAUGUGGCACAAUGCAGAGAAGAGACUCUGGUUGAAGUCUUCUUCUUGUCCUCCAGCAUUUCUGACUAGGAGUCGGAGUUCUAGACUUGCCGAGACCUCAGGGUGAGAGCUCUCUCCCUCCAAAGCCUCCGCCUCGAACA